AAGUAGCUUGCUACUUUGCCGGCGAGCGGCGGACGGGUGAGUAAUGUCUGGGAAACUGCCUGAUGGAGGGGGAUAACUACUGGAAACGGUAGCUAAUACCGCAUGACGUCGCAAGACCAAAGUGGGGGACCUUCGGGCCUCACGCCAUCGGAUGUGCCCAGAUGGGAUUAGCUAGUAGGUGGGGUAAUGGCUCACCUAGGCGACGAUCCCUAGCUGGUCUGAGAGGAUGACCAGCCACACUGGAACUGAGACACGGUCCAGACUCCUACGGGAGGCAGCAGUGGGGAAUAUUGCACAAUGGGCGCAAGCCUGAUGCAGCCAUGCCGCGUGUGUGAAGAAGGCCUUAGGGUUGUAAAGCACUUUCAGCGAGGAGGAAGGCGUUGUNGUUAAUAGCUGCAACGAUUGACGUUACUCGCAGAAGAAGCACCGGCUAACUCCGUGCCAGCAGCCGCGGUAAUACGGAGGGUGCAAGCGUUAAUCGGAAUUACUGGGCGUAAAGCGCACGCAGGCGGUUUGUUAAGUCAGAUGUGAAAUCCCCGAGCUUAACUUGGGAACUGCAUUUGAAACUGGCAAGCUAGAGUCUUGUAGAGGGGGGUAGAAUUCCAGGUGUAGCGGUGAAA
This 620-nucleotide ribosomal RNA is filed under the name Ewingella sp. M29T2. RNAcentral describes it as "bacterial SSU rRNA". It matches the Rfam family "Bacterial small subunit ribosomal RNA", at positions 73 to 686 of the family's 1533-position model. Lineage: Bacteria; Pseudomonadati; Pseudomonadota; Gammaproteobacteria; Enterobacterales; Yersiniaceae. The record is from RNAcentral.